This 600-nucleotide long non-coding RNA is filed under the name Dromaius novaehollandiae (emu). RNAcentral's name for it is "lncRNA (ENSDNVG00000014216.1)". The record is from RNAcentral. Lineage: Eukaryota; Metazoa; Chordata; Aves; Casuariiformes; Dromaiidae.
GCCCCGGGGCCCCUCGCAAGGCGGCUGCGUCCUGCAGAGCGGGGCCCGGCCGGGGUGGGGUGCGAUAAGCCCUUGUCGCCCGCUGUCCCCGCUCGGCGGUGUGUGCCACGAGCCCCCGGGAGCCCAGCGCCGCUCCACGUGCGUCUCAGCCCCGGCCGGCGAGAGGUUCAUAGCAGGCCCAGGCGCAUGGGUGGAGGCGGUAGCUGUCUGAAGUAGCCAAGAUCUUCAGUUGAUAUCGCUAAUUACCAUCUUAUGGUGCCAAAGUUUGCAAGCCUCUGUGCAGCACAGAAUGAAAUGACAUAUUCCCUGCCCCGAGGAGUUUACAAUCUGAGUGGAUCUGACAACACGAGGGUGUGACAGGACACCACGGGGUUGCAGCAGCAGGAUCAUGCUGUUGAGGACUUAACUUACUCCAGGACUACAGAUGAGAGAAAGCAACAGCUCCAGAGGCCUCUUGGGAUGGCAGGAUGGAUCUGACAACGCAAGGUGUGACAGAAUGCCACAAGGUUGCAGCAACAGAAUCCCGGGAUCCAGUGCCCAGACAAAGGAAAUGUCUUCUUCCAUAAUCCCCUUAGGAAAUCACCCACAGAAGUCCUCCUG